AACGAACGCUGGCGGUAUGCCUAACACAUGCAAGUCGAACGAGACCUUCGGGUCUAGUGGCGCACGGGUGCGUAACGCGUGGGAAUCUGCCCUUGGGUUCGGAAUAACAGUUGGAAACGACUGCUAAUACCGGAUGAUGACGUAAGUCCAAAGAUUUAUCGCCCAAGGAUGAGCCCGCGUAGGAUUAGCUAGUUGGUGAGGUAAAGGCUCACCAAGGCGACGAUCCUUAGCUGGUCUGAGAGGAUGAUCAGCCACACUGGGACUGAGACACGGCCCAGAAUCCUACGGGAGGCAGGAGUGGGGAAUAUUGGACAAUGGGCGAAAGCCUGAUCCAGCAAUGCCGCGUGAGUGAUGAAGGCCUUAGGGUUGUAAAGCUCUUUUACCCGGGAUGAUAAUGACAGUACCGGGAGAAUAAGCUCCGGCUAACUCCGUG
Molecule: ribosomal RNA, 433 nt
Filed under: uncultured bacterium
Lineage: Bacteria
Description: partial 16S ribosomal RNA
Rfam family: Bacterial small subunit ribosomal RNA
Source: RNAcentral